AGUCCGAUGGUGUAGUGGUAACAUCUCCUGUUUAUCUGCGUCUUCAACCUUGGGUCGCGGGAGGUCGCUCGUUCAAUUCGGGCUCAGACCA
This is a non-coding RNA of Mycena alexandri, 91 nucleotides long. NCBI's taxonomy places the organism in Eukaryota, Fungi, Basidiomycota, Agaricomycetes, Agaricales, Mycenaceae. The record is from the annotation of a GenBank genome assembly.